AUAUUCUGCAAUCUUAACAAAGCAUACGACUCUCUCGCCUUUUACUAGAGCGCCCUGUGUGGAGAUUGUGUUGAAAGCUUGAAUUUAUUGGGGUGAUUCGUCGCCUA
Molecule: small nuclear RNA, 107 nt
Organism: Condylostylus longicornis
Lineage: Eukaryota; Metazoa; Arthropoda; Insecta; Diptera; Dolichopodidae
Product: U5 spliceosomal RNA
Exons: 1
Source: RefSeq, a predicted model, not a curated record